GCUAACAUCAUGGGUAUGGACUAUGGAGAGAGUCCCUGCAAACAUUACAAAGAAAAACGGAACGAUAAGUUUUUUUGGACGUGUGUGUGUGCACAAAAUAAAAUUACAAAAAUGGGAUCAUCGUCAUGUCAACUUUGGUGUCGCAGCUUUCCAUGCUCUCCACUCCAUGCUGUUUGGCGGAUUUGAGGCCUGAGCCAGCCAUCGUAACAGCAAAGUUUUGUUUGUGCUGUUGUGCUGGACCUCCAGUCGUAUGAUUUGACUGAUGACAUCAGCAACAAUCACAGCAUCAUAACUUAGGUAAACAUCAUCUGUUAAAUUGGGGAAACUUCCAGCAGCACCCAGUGUCGACCGAGUUAAGGAUCUCUUCCAUUCCCCUUUCUUAAAUGUUCUCGUGUACGCCCAUGCGAGUGUGGGUGUAUUCACGAGGACUCCCUUUUACCUAUCCCUCCUCUGGUGGAUUCAACUUUUAUGUGGCUGGAUGGAGCACAUGUGGAUGCCUGGCUGUUUUUCCCAGGCUCAAAGGUAGGACAAAUUCAUCUCUAUCCUUCCUUUUUGAAAAUUUGGUGGUGUUGAUUUUCAAUCGUUGCGGAAUAUGGAGUACGAUUAUUCCUGGGCCAUGCAGUUGGCCGAAACUUUUUUAUCUCGCUGUUUUUGUUUUUCUCAGUCAGGGUUCAUGCUCACGUGUAGAACGACAACAGAUCAGGCCUGUUUUUGUUACCUCGCAACUUUGUCUGUUGGUAAACAAUCAAAUUCAGAAAUUUUUGAACUUGAAACACUUGAAGCAAAGUGAAACUUGAAUAAUUUUUUACAUCUAAAGGGGCUUGCCACCACACCGGCAAUUCCUGGUUCCCGAUUUGAUAUGUGUAGCGUAAAUAUCGUAGGCAGUUAAUUUUCCAGUUCAUCCGUACCAUUUUUCUCAGAUAGAAGAUGAAAUAAAAGGAAAAAGGAAGCAAAAAAAAGGGAACUUUGAGAGAGAAAUGUUAAUAUCAAACAAUCCAUCACUCGAGGUGAACAACUGAGAACAACAUGGCCUGGCCCUGGACGGUAACGUCCGUUUCCAAAAGCUGGUUCACCUUGUGUUCGUGUGUCAUUGCUGGGCUGAUGGUGGUGAGAGAUGUGAACCAAACAACACUCACUCCAUACAUUUCACCUCCCUAUGUGGUUCGAUUGGUCUAUAACAAAGGAGAGAGAGAAAAAAGAAAUACCCCAAAAGUCAAUCAAAAUGAGAAGAAGAAUAGAAAUCGAAUUUCCGACCUGUGCAACGCGUAUAACAGAGCGAAGAAAUAAGGAAAGAUAGAAGACCGAUUUCCUCCAUUCACUCUCGUUAUAUACGGUAUAUAACUGCUGUAUAAAUGAAUAUGCGAUGUGGGGGGUUGAUGCUAUUAUACAUGGUAGAUAGUAAGGCCCUUGUGUGUUGGGGGGAUGGUAG
Long non-coding RNA from Daphnia pulex (common water flea), 1429 nucleotides. RefSeq lists it as uncharacterized. The transcript is spliced from 3 exons. Lineage: Eukaryota; Metazoa; Arthropoda; Branchiopoda; Diplostraca; Daphniidae. The record is from RefSeq and is a predicted model, not a curated record.